GAUGAACGCUGGCGGCGUGCCUAAUACAUGCAAGUCGAGCGAACGGACGAGAAGCUUGCUUCUCUGAUGUUAGCGGCGGACGGGUGAGUAACACGUGGAUAACCUACCUAUAAGACUGGGAUAACUUCGGGAAACCGGAGCUAAUACCGGAUAAUAUUUUGAACCGCAUGGUUCAAAAGUGAAAGACGGUCUUGCUGUCACUUAUAGAUGGAUCCGCGCUGCAUUAGCUAGUUGGUAAGGUAACGGCCUACCAAGGCAACGAUGCAUAGCCGACCUGAGAGGGUGAUCGGCCACACUGGAACUGAGACACGGUCCAGACUCCUACGGGAGGCAGCAGUAGGGAAUCUUCCGCAAUGGGCGAAAGCCUGACGGAGCAACGCCGCGUGAGUGAUGAGGGUCUUCGGAUCGUAAAACUCUGUUAUUAGGGAAGAACAUAUGUGUAAGUAACUGUGCACAUCUUGACGGUACCUAAUCAGAAAGCCACGGCUAACUACGUG
This 497-nucleotide ribosomal RNA is filed under the name uncultured bacterium. RNAcentral describes it as "partial 16S ribosomal RNA". It matches the Rfam family "Bacterial small subunit ribosomal RNA", at positions 28 to 507 of the family's 1533-position model. The record is from RNAcentral.